Long non-coding RNA from Piliocolobus tephrosceles (Ugandan red Colobus), 2642 nucleotides. RefSeq lists it as uncharacterized. NCBI's taxonomy places the organism in Eukaryota, Metazoa, Chordata, Mammalia, Primates, Cercopithecidae. The record is from RefSeq and is a predicted model, not a curated record. The transcript has 2 exons.
GAUUACAGGCACAUGCCACCAAGCCCAGCUAAUUUUUCUUGUUUUGUGUUUGUUUUUGUUUUGGGACAGAGUUUCACUCUUGUUGAACAUCUCCUUUUAAAAUGUAUUGUUUUCCUAAUUUUCGUUGAGUUGUCUGUGUUCUGCUGUGGCUUGCUGUGCUCCCUUAAAACAAUUAUUUUGAAUUCCUUGUCAGGAAAUAUUUAGAUCUCCACUUCUUUGGGGUUGGUUACUGUAAAAUUAUUGUGUUCCUUUCAUGGUGUCAUGCUUCCUCAGUUUUCAUGUUGCUUAAAGUCUUACAUUACUGUCUUUGUAUUUACUUGAGGAAGUCACUUCUUCCUGUCUUUGAUAACUGGCUUUGGGAGGAAAACACCUUCACCAGUUAACCAGGCUCAGGGAUUCUGAGGCUAUCUCGUACUUUUUCUACGGAUGCACCCACUCCACUCCUCUUGUUCGCUCUUGGGAUGGGGGGGAUUCUUAAGAUGGUAUACCUUCUGUUAAUACUGCAAAGCCAGGCCAAGCACGGAGAGUCUCCCAUUUGUUUUCCUUAGGGGCAGUGCCCUGAAAUGCUCAUUUGUGUGCCUUCUCGCAGUCCUACGGUGUCAAGCCUGUUGAGUGCGUGUGCUUGCAAACCAUCUGUAAAGCCCUACACUUGACGUCCAGGGUACACCUAGAGAGGUCCAGCCAUGGGGUGGUGAGAGGGGUGAAGCACAUAGAGUGUUCGGGGUGCCCGUGGGCCAGCUGGGGAGUCUACAGGUAAGGCAUCCCAAGCAGCUUGUGGGCAGGCCCUUGAUGGAGUCUGUGAAGCAGCUAGUAAGGUAUGUGACCCUUUGUUGAGUUUUAUACUCUGAUUGCUGUGAGUCUCUUGCUUCUGUUCCUUCCUCCACAUUCUCCCAGCUACUCGUUCAUGUGCAUCCCUUCAGUAUUCUGGGUGGAAUGAAGAAGAGGGAGUACUCUUAGGAAGCAUCCUGCACAGCUGGGGAAACUGAGUGUUCGCUCAUUAUACUUUUACAUUUCCCUGUGGGAGUUACUGUGGGCUGAGGGGGUCUGUCGUGUCACUGACCUGUACCACCUACGGGCAGGGGUGACACAGUGAAACUGUUCUUUUUAUUUUCUUCAGUGUUCCUAUGUUUAGAUUUUUUGCUCCAAUGGUGUUCUAGAAUUUCUUCCCUGGACUCUCACAAAGGUACAUUAAUCCAUGGAUAGUUGUCAAAACCAGGGCACUGUGGAGGAAAUGAGAUGAAUAGGAGUAGGAAACUCCUACUCCACCAUCUGGGUCUCUCUGCCUUCUUCAUAUUUACUGUUAUAGACUGAUCUCUCCAGCUGGAAAACUCCUGGAGGACUGAACACUUUCUCAAGUACCACCUGAGUGGACAAAACAUCAACUACUUUUCCUCUGCUCUCAUACCACAGUCAACACAGAAGACUUCCAUGGAACGUGUGGAAACUUAUCCCUACCAACAGGCAAGCGAUCAGUUCUACACUCAAUAGCUUAUUGGUGUCCUCCAAUUCAAUUUCACCACUACCACCCUGGAGACAGCAUCAGAUCACACAGAUUAAGGGCUCAGUCCCACGAGACUUCCUGUCACUUCUGACGCCAAUCACAAGCACCAGGAUGUUUUACCCUUGCUUCUGACCUACGGGCUAUAAAUGGGGGUUCCCAUGGCUUCCUCCUUGGGGUUGAUUAAUUUUCUACAGUGGCUCACAGAACACAGGGAAAUGCUUAUUUAUGCUUACCAGUCUAUUGUAAAGGAUAUUACAAAGGAUACAGAUGAAAUGUUGCACAGGAAAAGGUAAGGGGGAAGAGGGACAGAGCUUCCACGCCCUCCAAGGACGCACUGCCUUGCAGGAACCUCCACAUGUUUGGCUCCCCAGAAACUCUCUAAACCCUGUCCUUUGUGGUUGGCAUGGAGGCUUCAUUAUGUAGGCAUGAUUGACGAGACCAUCGACCCACUGGUGAUCAGUUUAAUUUUCAGCGCCUUUCACCUCCUGGGAGGUGGAGCUGAAUGGGCCAAUCUUCUAAUCCUUCUGGGUCUCUUCAGUGAUCAGCACCCAUCCUGUGAAGCCACAUAUGAGCUGCCAGUCAUAAGUCAACUCAUUAGCAUACAAAAAGAUAACACUUCGAAGAGUCUAAGGAUUUUAGGAGUUGCAUGCCAGGAAAUGGGGACAAAGACCAACUGUAUAUUUCACAAUAUUACACCCUCCCAACCAUGGCACCCAGCGUAUUCCUGAACACAAUAGGAAAUACCUGAUAGAUACUCGUUGACUGAAAAAAGAAGCUGAGUCGUCUGCAGAGAGAGGUACAGGCCUCCUGGAGUCACAAAGCCUGGAGCAACAGGAGAACCACUAAAGAAGAAGAAACAGCUAGUUCCUGCCUUAACCAAUUAACCCACCUUUCAACGUUCCACCACUGUGAUAUGUUCCUGCCCUACCCUAAUUAAUCAACCUUGUGAUAUCCUGCCUUGUGACUAUGCACCUUGUGACAUUCUUUCCCUGCCUUGAAAAACUGCCCCCUAACUGUAACUUUCCACUACCUACCCCAAACCUAUAAAACCAGUUCCACUCCUAUCACCCUUCGCUGGCCCUUUUCUCGGACUCAGGCCACUUGCACCCAAGUGAAUAAACAGCCUUGUUGCUCACACUAA